RNAcentral lists this transfer RNA (91 nucleotides) under Burkholderiales bacterium. RNAcentral describes it as "tRNA-Leu". It matches the Rfam family "tRNA". From Rfam's summary of the family: Transfer RNA (tRNA) molecules are approximately 80 nucleotides in length. Lineage: Bacteria; Pseudomonadati; Pseudomonadota; Betaproteobacteria; Burkholderiales. The record is from RNAcentral.
GCCCGGGUGGCGAAAUUGGUAGACGCAGCGGACUUAAAAUCCGCCGGACCCGAGAGGGGCCGUACGGGUUCGAUUCCCGUCCUGGGCACCA